RNAcentral lists this ribosomal RNA (252 nucleotides) under uncultured bacterium. RNAcentral describes it as "partial 16S ribosomal RNA". It matches the Rfam family "Bacterial small subunit ribosomal RNA", at positions 524 to 776 of the family's 1533-position model. The record is from RNAcentral.
UACGUAGGGGGCAAGCGUUGUCCGGAUUUAUUGGGCGUAAAGCGCGCGCAGGCGGCUAUUUAAGUCUGGUGUUUAAACCUUGGGCUCAACCUGAGGUCGCACUGGAAACUGGGUGGCUUGAGUACAGAAGAGGAAAGUGGAAUUCCACGUGUAGCGGUGAAAUGCGUAGAUAUGUGGAGGAACACCAGUGGCGAAGGCGACUUUCUGGGCUGUAACUGACGCUGAGGCGCGAAAGCGUGGGGAGCAAACAGG